UGUUGGCUCUUCUCCCUGCGUCUUCUGCCA
RNAcentral lists this non-coding RNA (30 nucleotides) under Homo sapiens (human). Lineage: Eukaryota; Metazoa; Chordata; Mammalia; Primates; Hominidae. The record is from RNAcentral.